RNAcentral lists this ribosomal RNA (158 nucleotides) under Intestinozyma alai. RNAcentral describes it as "Candida alai 5.8S ribosomal RNA". It matches the Rfam family "5.8S ribosomal RNA". Rfam says of the family: 5.8S ribosomal RNA (5.8S rRNA) is a component of the large subunit of the eukaryotic ribosome. It is transcribed by RNA polymerase I as part of the 45S precursor that also contains 18S and 28S rRNA. Functionally, it is thought that 5.8S rRNA may be involved in ribosome translocation. Lineage: Eukaryota; Fungi; Ascomycota; Pichiomycetes; Serinales; Debaryomycetaceae. RNAcentral also lists the same sequence under 2 other names. The record is from RNAcentral.
AAACUUUCAACAACGGAUCUCUUGGUUCUCGCAUCGAUGAAGAACGCAGCGAAAUGCGAUAAGUAAUAUGAAUUGCAGAUAUUCGUGAAUCAUCGAAUCUUUGAACGCACAUUGCGCCCUGUGGUAUUCCGCAGGGCAUGCCUGUUUGAGCGUCAUUU